This 490-nucleotide ribosomal RNA is filed under the name uncultured bacterium. Its description in RNAcentral is "partial 16S ribosomal RNA". It matches the Rfam family "Bacterial small subunit ribosomal RNA", at positions 29 to 507 of the family's 1533-position model. The record is from RNAcentral.
AUUGAACGCUGGCGGCAGGCCUAACACAUGCAAGUCGAACGGUAACAGGAAGCAGCUUGCUGCUUCGCUGACGAGUGGCGGACGGGUGAGUAAUGUCUGGGAAGCUGCCUGAUGGAGGGGGAUAACUACUGGAAACGGUAGCUAAUACCGCAUAAUGUCGCAAGACCAAAGAGGGGGACCUUCGGGCCUCUUGCCAUCGGAUGUGCCCAGAUGGGAUUAGCUUGUUGGUGGGGUAACGGCUCACCAAGGCGACGAUCCCUAGCUGGUCUGAGAGGAUGACGAGGGCCGCUGGGACAGCAACCCGGUCCAGACUCCGACGGGAGGCAGCAGUGGGGAAUGUUACACAAUGGGCGGAAGGCUGAAGCAUCGAUGCCGGGGGUAGGAAGAAGGCAUCUGGUUUGCAAAGUACUUUCGUCGUGAAGGGAGGGAGAAAGGUCAAUACCUUCGCGCAUUGCCGUGGCCCGCAGAAGAAGCACCGCCUAACUCCGUG